UUUGUACUACUGUUGAAGUUUGGUAUAAUUUCGGUCAUUAUUAGUGGGGUAAUUUACGAGAUACACACUUGGUUCCAAUAGCGCCUGCACUAAGCUAACCAGGUGAUGACACUAACUCGCCCAUUGUUAAACCCAGGUGAAAAAAGCUUCUGGGGGGUUGUUUGGCUCGAGGUCAUGAUGCACAGGACCCUAGGAUAAAAUUACUCCGAACCAUCACUUUAACAACUAUCAUAGAGUGCAUGG
Molecule: long non-coding RNA, 243 nt
Organism: Etheostoma spectabile (orangethroat darter)
Lineage: Eukaryota; Metazoa; Chordata; Actinopteri; Perciformes; Percidae
Exons: 4
Source: RefSeq, a predicted model, not a curated record